CGUAUGUUCAAACAGUCCUUCUCUUUUCCAUACUGAUAUUAACAAUAUGUCACGUGACCCACUCAACCACCAAGAGUUACGAAGAGGCUCGUGAGGAAUUCGAGAAAAUACGGGAAAAUAAAAUCCAGGAAUUAAUAAAAGAGAAAAACACCUCACAACCUGGCUGGAGACGAAGAAGAAGCAUAAAGCUAAAAGAUUCAACACAAGAUUUGAGUCCCAGAGAAGCAAAAGCCUUUCACGUCCAAAACCAACUCGACUGAGAAUUUAAUAUUCGAUGACUAACUGUCAAUAACCUGUCAAUUCAUUGUAAAUUAUUCAAUUUUAUUUCUUUUUUGUUGUAAAAAAAGCACUUAUAUUGGGUAAUAAAGAGAAUAUGUAAGUAGUUA
This is a long non-coding RNA of Actinia tenebrosa (Australian red waratah sea anemone), 386 nucleotides long. NCBI's taxonomy places the organism in Eukaryota, Metazoa, Cnidaria, Anthozoa, Actiniaria, Actiniidae. The record is from RefSeq and is a predicted model, not a curated record.